CAGUCGCCGCGGGAAUACGAAGGGGGCUAGCGUUGUUCGGAUUUACUGGGCGUAAAGCGCACGUAGGCGGACUUUUAAGUCAGGGGUGAAAUCCCGGGGCUCAACCCCGGAACUGCCUUUGAUACUGGAAGUCUUGAGUAUGGUAGAGGUGAGUGGAAUUCCGAGUGUAGAGGUGAAAUUCGUAGAUAUUCGGAGGAACACCAGUGGCGAAGGCGGCUCACAGGACCAUUACUGACGCUGAGGUGCGAAAGCGUGGGGAGCAAACAGGAUUAGAGACCCCUGUAGUCCCUGUCUCUUAUAC
This 301-nucleotide ribosomal RNA is filed under the name uncultured bacterium. RNAcentral describes it as "partial 16S ribosomal RNA". It matches the Rfam family "Bacterial small subunit ribosomal RNA", at positions 509 to 807 of the family's 1533-position model. The record is from RNAcentral.